AAUCCAUAGGUUAAUGAGGCGAACCGGGGGAACUGAAACAUCUAAGUACCCCGAGGAAAAGAAAUCAACCGAGAUUCCCCCAGUAGCGGCGAGCGAACGGGGAGGAGCCCAGAGCCUGAAUCAGCAUGUGUGUUAGUGGAAGCGUCUGGAAAGGCGCGCGAUACAGGGUGACAGCCCCGUACACAAAAGCGCAUGUGCUGUGAGCUCGAUGAGUAGGGCGGGACACGUGGUAUCCUGUCUGAAUAUGGGGGGACCAUCCUCCAAGGCUAAAUACUCCUGACUGACCGAUAGUGAACCAGUACCGUGAGGGAAAGGCGAAAAGAACCCCGGCGAGGGGAGUGAAAAAGAACCUGAAACCGUGUACGUACAAGCAGUGGGAGCACCCUUUUGGGUGUGACUGCGUACCUUUUGUAUAAUGGGUCAGCGACUUAUAUUCUGUAGCAAGGUUAACCGAAUAGGGGAGCCGUAGGGAAACCGAGUCUUAACCGGGCGUUAAGUUGCAGGGUAUAGACCCGAAACCCGGUGAUCUAGCCAUGGGCAGGUUGAAGGUUGGGUAACACUAACUGGAGGACCGAACCGACUAAUGUUGAAAAAUUAGCGGAUGACCUGUGGCUGGGGGUGAAAGGCCAAUCAAACCGGGAGAUAGCUGGUUCUCCCCGAAAGCUAUUUAGGUAGCGCCUCGUGAAUUCAUCUCCGGGGGUAGAGCACUGUUUCGGCUAGGGGGCCAUCCCGGCUUACCAACCCGAUGCAAACUGCGAAUACCGGAGAAUGUUAUCACGGGAGACACACGGCGGGUGCUAACGUCCGUCGUGAAGAGGGAAACAACCCAGACCGCCAGCUAAGGUCCCAAAGUCAUGGUUAAGUGGGAAACGAUGUGGGAAGGCCCAGACAGCCAGGAUGUUGGCUUAGAAGCAGCCAUCAUUUAAAGAAAGCGUAAUAGCUCACUGGUCGAGUCGGCCUGCGCGGAAGAUGUAACGGGGCUAAACCAUGCACCGAAGCUGCGGCAGCGACACUGUGUGUUGUUGGGUAGGGGAGCGUUCUGUAAGCCUGUGAAGGUGGCCUGUGAGGGUUGCUGGAGGUAUCAGAAGUGCGAAUGCUGACAUAAGUAACGAUAAAGCGGGUGAAAAGCCCGCUCGCCGGAAGACCAAGGGUUCCUGUCCAACGUUAAUCGGGGCAGGGUGAGUCGACCCCUAAGGCGAGGCCGAAAGGCGUAGUCGAUGGGAAACAGGUUAAUAUUCCUGUACUUGGUGUUACUGCGAAGGGGGGACGGAGAAGGCUAUGUUGGCCGGGCGACGGUUGUCCCGGUUUAAGCGUGUAGGCUGGUUUUCCAGGCAAAUCCGGAAAAUCAAGGCUGAGGCGUGACGACGAGGCACUACGGUGCUGAAGCAACAAAUGCCCUGCUUCCAGGAAAAGCCUCUAAGCAUCAGGUAACAUCAAAUCGUACCCCAAACCGACACAGGUGGUCAGGUAGAGAAUACCAAGGCGCUUGAGAGAACUCGGGUGAAGGAACUAGGCAAAAUGGUGCCGUAACUUCGGGAGAAGGCACGCUGACACGUAGGUGAAGUGAUUUACUCAUGGAGCUGAAGUCAGUCGAAGAUACCAGCUGGCUGCAACUGUUUAUUAAAAACACAGCACUGUGCAAACACGAAAGUGGACGUAUACGGUGUGACGCCUGCCCGGUGCCGGAAGGUUAAUUGAUGGGGUCAGCGCAAGCGAAGCUCCUGAUCGAAGCCCCGGUAAACGGCGGCCGUAACUAUAACGGUCCUAAGGUAGCGAAAUUCCUUGUCGGGUAAGUUCCGACCUGCACGAAUGGCGUAAUGAUGGCCAGGCUGUCUCCACCCGAGACUCAGUGAAAUUGAACUCGCUGUGAAGAUGCAGUGUACCCGCGGCAAGACGGAAAGACCCCGUGAACCUUUACUAUAGCUUGACACUGAACAUUGAGCCUUGAUGUGUAG
RNAcentral lists this ribosomal RNA (1955 nucleotides) under Salmonella enterica subsp. enterica serovar Newport. RNAcentral's name for it is "partial 23S ribosomal RNA". It matches the Rfam family "Bacterial large subunit ribosomal RNA", at positions 161 to 2141 of the family's 2925-position model. The record is from RNAcentral. Lineage: Bacteria; Pseudomonadati; Pseudomonadota; Gammaproteobacteria; Enterobacterales; Enterobacteriaceae.